RNAcentral lists this RNase P RNA (331 nucleotides) under Spirochaetales bacterium. RNAcentral's name for it is "RNase P RNA component class A". It matches the Rfam family "Bacterial RNase P class A". Rfam says of the family: Ribonuclease P (RNase P) is a ubiquitous endoribonuclease, found in archaea, bacteria and eukarya as well as chloroplasts and mitochondria. Its best characterised activity is the generation of mature 5'-ends of tRNAs by cleaving the 5'-leader elements of precursor-tRNAs. Lineage: Bacteria; Pseudomonadati; Spirochaetota; Spirochaetia; Spirochaetales. The record is from RNAcentral.
GCGGCAGGCUAGGCCGUCGCCCAUAACGGGAGGAAAGUCCGGGCUCCGUAGAGCAUGGCACCGGGUAAUACCCGGACAUCUGAAAGGAUGAUAGAAAGUGCCACAGAAAAUAUACCGCCUCCCCAAAGGGGGUAAGGGUGAAAAGGUGGUGUAAGAGACCACCGCUUCGAUGGUAACAUCGAAGGCAGGGCAAACCUUGCCAGGAGCAAAGUCAAGAAGCGGAGAGGUGCUCCCUUAUAUCCGCGGGUAGACUGCAGGAAGGCUUCGGUAACGAAGCCUGUAGAUAGAUGACGGUCCCUGACAGAACCCGGCUUAUCGGCCUGCCGUUUUU